GAUGAACGCUGGCGGCGUGCCUAACACAUGCAAGUCGAGCGAUUCUCUUCGGAGAAGAGCGGCGGACGGGUGAGUAACGCGUGGGUAACCUGCCUCAUACACAUGGAUAACAUACCGAAAGGUAUGCUAAUACAGGAUAACAUAAGAGAUUCGCAUGUUUCUCUUAUCAAAGCUCCGGCGGUAUGAGAUGGACCCGCGUCUGAUUAGCUAGUUGGUAAGGUAAUGGCUUACCAAGGCGACGAUCAGUAGCCGACCUGAGAGGGUGAUCGGCCACAUUGGAACUGAGACACGGUCCAAACUCCUACGGGAGGCAGCAGCGGGGAAUAUUGCACAAUGGGCGAAAGCCUGAUGCAGCAACGCCGCGUGAGUGAUGAAGGCCUUCGGGUCGUAAAACUCUGUCCUCAAGGAAGA
RNAcentral lists this ribosomal RNA (411 nucleotides) under uncultured bacterium. RNAcentral's name for it is "bacterial SSU rRNA". It matches the Rfam family "Bacterial small subunit ribosomal RNA", at positions 28 to 448 of the family's 1533-position model. The record is from RNAcentral.